This is a long non-coding RNA of Triplophysa dalaica, 1580 nucleotides long. RefSeq lists it as uncharacterized. The record is from RefSeq and is a predicted model, not a curated record. NCBI's taxonomy places the organism in Eukaryota, Metazoa, Chordata, Actinopteri, Cypriniformes, Nemacheilidae. The transcript has 4 exons.
GUUGUUUGUGCUUCGAACGUCAUCACAUCGUCACGGGAGUCAAGAGUCCACACACCGAGUGCUCGUCACAGCAGAAAGCCUGACUGAUCAUCCAGCGAGGCAAAUGAAUAAUAAAAGAUCAAUGGACAGCUUUGUCAUUAACACUUUGACAGAGUGGCAGCUGACAGACCUUGUCGACAAAUUUAAAGAUUGCACAGGACAGUCUUGUCCUGCAAGGGGAUGCUGCAUCAAAAUUGUUUGAAACUUGGCUACCCAUUUAUGCUGAGAAGAUCCUGUGCCUGGCACCUGGAUGGAUAAACACCAGAUGGUGUUGGGGAUCUCGCCCUGAGGCAGCUGCCAACCUUGCUUCCACCUACAACUUACAAAGUUGGCCGUGGCCGCAGUGUGAAAGUGGUUCGCCACACCAUUCAGGAAUGCAGCUUGGCCUUCAUCGACCGUAAGCCUGUAAGUCCUCAAGCACAUCUAAAUGGGAAACUUUAUUUAUUUUAUCAACAUAUCUGAGCUUAAGAAUGUGUGCAAGCACACAUGCAUAUCCAGGUUUGUUUUACUAUACUUUUGUGGACAGUCAUCAAAUAAAGCCUGACAGUAUUCGGAAAAUAGCCAUUCUACAAGCUUACAACACAAGCAUCCUGUGCUUCUAGAACACCUCAGCAGUGCCACAGGCUAAUUACCUCUGAUGCAGUAAUUUGUUCUAAAACAGGCACCAACAAAGGUAUUGAGUGCAGAAAUCAACAUAUUUAUCAGAAGGUUGACACUUUUGUAUUUUAACCCAUUUGGACCUGACUCUGUAAGGUUGACUAAAGAAGUCUUCUAAAUCUACAAACCAUUUGCGGCCCACCUAUCUGACCACCUAACUCGGCUGCCUAUCGGCCAGAUAGGAGAGUCAGAUUUUCUGAUCAUGUUUAUUGUAAUGAUAGAUCAUCAGUAGAUUUAUGGCUUUUUAGGACAAUUGAGAACAUAUGAUACAGUUCAACAUUUUGAAUUAGAGAUGCACUGAAUCUUUUCCAAAUUGUCAAGCUAACUAGACUUUAUAAUAAAACAAUAAUUUCUGUAGUGAGGACCAGGAAAAUGGUCCUCACAAUGUCUAUAUUAGAAUUCUUCUAUAGUAGUCUGUAGACAUUUGGUCCUGAAUCUUUUGAAUCUUUUCCAAAUUGUCAAGCUAACUAGACUUUAUAAUAAAACAAUAAUUUCUGUAGUGAGGACCAGGAAAAUGGUCCUCACAAUGUCUAUAUUAGAAUUCUUCUAUAGUAGUCUGUAGACAUUUGGUCCUUACUCACUCGCACUCUCUCACUUGCUCUCUUGUAUUCUUUCUUUUUUAGCCUGGAAUAAACAUGGUGGAGUAGCUCAAUGAGGCCAAGGCAUGCAAACCAUACCCCCACAUCCUGACGCUGGGAAAUGAUCAGAGGGCAUUUCAGAAUUUGUUCAAGACAGUUGACUGUUGGCAUGUUGAAUGUUCAGCCAGUUCAUUCAUAAUUGUUGUUUUGCUAUGAAUGUUUUCCUAUCUAGUGAUAUUAACUGCACCAGUUACACUAUUGUUGAUAUUAAUGAAUGUAAUACAAUAAAAAAAUUCUGAGAUUCCA